ACAGGGCGUGAACCGUUAAUUGGCAAACGAAUCGGAGCCACGAAGUCGUUUCGUUGAUAGUGGGGCCACAUUCAGUUUGGAACCCAAAAGAGUUCCAGGCGCAUUUGUGGAAUCCGCCAUCUUUGUAAGCGUACACUGCAACCAGUUAGACGAUUGGCGAUGGAAAUAGUUGAAUUGGCCUCUCGAGGUCGGCUCAACGAAAUAUCUGUUUGUUUGGGCUAGUAGUAGUGUGGCAGUCUUCGGGCUGUUCAUAUUGCUGAGCAAAGACAAGUGAACUAUCGUCAAAUACUGACUGGCAAAAUGAAAAUCACUCUAUGUGUUAUAUAGAAUGCGGUUCCAUGUAUUGAUGUCUACAUGCUUGACCGUUCGGUUUAAGCUCAGCAUUCUUCAAUUUGGACUUGCUGGCUACCAAUGGGGCAACUCUUGGUGCCAGUACAGCUUCCAUCUAAUGGGGUGUUGACUUGGCAGGACGUUGUUCCGGUAUGAAACGAUUGGAUGUUGAUACAAUGGAAUUCGCUAUGAUUGGCAGUGAGUAGGUCGGCUUUCCGAACGACCCGUCUUGAAACACGGACCAAGGAGUCUAAUUAGGCAUCGAGUCGAUCGGUCUUGAAUAGGCCAGACAGGUUGGGGUCAAACCCAACCGACUGAAGGCGUAGAGAAAUCAAAUCAUGCGAUCAUUGGGGUAAUACCAAUCCCAGUGCGCAGCAUGUGCCUGUUCGUAUAACAAUGUCGCAAGACUUGUUGGACGGAGUAUAGAGAUGCUUGAUUGGUACCCGAAAGAUGGGAAACCUUU
Molecule: ribosomal RNA, 793 nt
Filed under: Colomerus vitis
Lineage: Eukaryota; Metazoa; Arthropoda; Arachnida; Trombidiformes; Eriophyidae
Description: partial large subunit ribosomal RNA
Rfam family: Eukaryotic large subunit ribosomal RNA
Source: RNAcentral